CUGCCUGGUAGUGGGGGAUAACGUUCGGAAACGAACGCUAAUACCGCAYACBUCCUACGGGAGAAAGCAGGGGACCUUCGGGCCUUGCGCUAUCAGAUGAGCCUAGGUCGGAUUAGCUAGUUGGUGAGGUAAUGGCUCACCAAGGCRACRAUCCGUAACUGGUCUGAGAGGAUGAUCAGUCACACUGGAACUGAGACACGGUCCAGACUCCUACGGGAGGCAGCAGUGGGGAAUAUUGGACAAUGGGCGAAAGCCUGAUCCAGCCAUGCCGCGUGUGUGAAGAAGGUCUUCGGAUUGUAAAGCACUUUAAGUUGGGAGGAAGGGCAGUUACCUAAUACGUGAUUGUUUUGACGUUACCGACAGAAUAAGCACCGGCUAACUCUGUGCCAGCAGCCGCGGUAAUACAGAGGGUGCAAGCGUUAAUCGGAAUUACUGGGCGUAAAGCGCGCGUAGGUGGUUUGUUAAGUUGGAUGUGAAAUCCCCGGGCUCAACCUGGGAACUGCAUUCAAAACUGACUGACUAAAGUAUGGUAAAGGGUGGUGGAAUUUCCUGUGUAGCGGUGAAAUGCGUAGAUAUAGGAAGGAACACCAGUGGCGAAGGCGACCACCUGGACUAAUACUGACACUGAGGUGCGAAAGCUUGGGGAGCAAACAGGAUUAAAUACCCUGGUACUCC
This 675-nucleotide ribosomal RNA is filed under the name Pseudomonas sp. RNAcentral's name for it is "bacterial SSU rRNA". It matches the Rfam family "Bacterial small subunit ribosomal RNA", at positions 126 to 796 of the family's 1533-position model. The record is from RNAcentral. Lineage: Bacteria; Pseudomonadati; Pseudomonadota; Gammaproteobacteria; Pseudomonadales; Pseudomonadaceae.